This 477-nucleotide ribosomal RNA is filed under the name uncultured bacterium. Its description in RNAcentral is "partial 16S ribosomal RNA". It matches the Rfam family "Bacterial small subunit ribosomal RNA", at positions 28 to 507 of the family's 1533-position model. The record is from RNAcentral.
GAUUAACGCUGGCGGCGUGCAUAACACAUGCAAGUCGAACGAUGAAACUUUAAUGAACCCUUCGGGGAGAAUUAAAGCGGAUUAGUGGCGAACGGGUGAGUAACGCGUGAGUAACCUGCCUUACACAAGGGGAUAGCCUUUGGAAACGAAGAAUAAUACCCUAUAAAACCAUAAAGGCACAUGCAAUUAUGGUCAAAGUGAUAGCGGUGUAAGAUGGACUUGCGUCUGAUUAGCUAGUUGGUGAGAUAAAAGCCCACCAAGGCAACGAUCAGUAGCCGGCUUGAGAGAGUGUACGGCCACAUUGGGACUGAGACACGGCCCAGACUCCUACGGGAGGCAGCAGUGGGGAAUUUUGCACAAUGGGGGAAACCCUGAUGCAGCGACGCCGCGUGAUUUAGAAGGCCUUCGGGUUGUAAAAAUCUUUUGUAUAGGAAGAAAAUGACAGUACUAUACGAAUAAGGUCCGGCUAAUUACGUG